AUGCAGGGGGAGCUCUUCUCAUACAUGCUUCAGGUGUACAAAGAGAAGGAGGAAGCAGUGAGACGCACCAAGCAGGUGGCCUUCAGUUUGCCGGCUUUGAUGAGGAAUUGUGAUCAAGGCGUUCCCAUCGUCAACAUCCGGUGUGCUGACGACGGCGCGGCGGUGACAGUGAGAGAAGACGGGUUUAUUUGUCUCUGGAAUCCUGAACUUAAACCGCAGAAGACCAAAUACAUGUUUGGCGAGGGACCGGCUAACAGGAAGGCAAAGUGGGUCAGUGAUUUUGCUCUGAUGCCAGAACACAACAAGCUAAUAAUGGGAACGGGCGACAGAGAGGUUCAGAUGUAUGAUCUCUUCACUCUGGAACCAUACUGUCAGAUCAGCUGCCUGAGCACCAUCCCUUUGACUCUGGACUACAGCUGCACUGGCUCUGAUGAAUGUUGUCUUCUGUAUGGAGACACUGAGGGCUGUGUGACCAUCCUUUUAAUCUCCUCUGUUGACGACACCCUCAGAAAAUGGAGCAAAUUGCCGAUGAUUGAGAACAUACCCAACAUUUCCAUUGAACACGCAGUGCUGGCUCAACAUGUGACUUUUGUCAGGUGGAAGGUUCAUCAUGACUGGGUGACACAGGUAAUGUGUUCAUCAUGUCAAAACAAAUACACUUAUGAGAGACAGCUUUGA
Molecule: long non-coding RNA, 678 nt
Filed under: Nothobranchius furzeri (turquoise killifish)
Lineage: Eukaryota; Metazoa; Chordata; Actinopteri; Cyprinodontiformes; Nothobranchiidae
Description: lncRNA (ENSNFUG00015002799.1)
Source: RNAcentral